AGAGUUUGAUCAUGGCUCAGGAUGAACGCUAGCUACAGGCUUAACACAUGCAAGUCGAGGGCAGCAUGGUCUUAGCUUGCUAAGACUGAUGGCGACCGGCGUACGGGUGAGUAACGCGUAUCCAACCUGCCCACCACUUGGGGAUAACCUUGCGAAAGUAAGACUAAUACCCAAUGACGUCUCUAGAAGACAUCUGAAAGAGAUUAAAGAUUUAUCGGUGAUGGAUGGGGAUGCGUCUGAUUAGCUUGUUGGCGGGGUAACGGCCCACCAAGGCGACGAUCAGUAGGGGUUCUGAGAGGAAGGCCCCCCACAUUGGAACUGAGGCACGGUCCAAACUCCUACGGGAGGCUGCA
RNAcentral lists this ribosomal RNA (353 nucleotides) under uncultured bacterium. RNAcentral's name for it is "bacterial SSU rRNA". It matches the Rfam family "Bacterial small subunit ribosomal RNA", at positions 8 to 353 of the family's 1533-position model. The record is from RNAcentral.